UACGUAGGGUCCGAGCGUUGUCCGGAAUUACUGGGCGUAAAGAGCUCGUAGGUGGUUUGUCGCGUUGUUCGUGAAAACUCACAGCUCAACUGUGGGCGUGCGGGCGAUACGGGCAGACUAGAGUACUGCAGGGGAGACCGGAAUUCCUGGUGUAGCGGUGGAAUGCGCAGAUAUCAGGAGGAACACCGGUGGCGAAGGCGGGUCUCUGGGCAGUAACUGACGCUGAGACGCGAAAGCGUGGGGAGCAAACAGG
This 253-nucleotide ribosomal RNA is filed under the name uncultured bacterium. Its description in RNAcentral is "partial 16S ribosomal RNA". It matches the Rfam family "Bacterial small subunit ribosomal RNA", at positions 524 to 776 of the family's 1533-position model. The record is from RNAcentral.